RNAcentral lists this long non-coding RNA (600 nucleotides) under Pan troglodytes (chimpanzee). RNAcentral's name for it is "long non-coding RNA NONPTRT017162". The record is from RNAcentral. Lineage: Eukaryota; Metazoa; Chordata; Mammalia; Primates; Hominidae.
GGAGAAAACUGCAAUAACAAGAAUUUGAUGUGUGCUUCCCUUCAAAUCUGCUUAAUUAGCAUGGACAGUGUUCCCCUGAAUUAAUAUAUGGUGAAAAGUUGUGGUCCAGAGUUUCAUACUUCUGCAUAUGGCUAGCCAGCUAUCCCAGCAUCAUUUAUUGAACAGGGAAUCCCCAAAAAGACUCUUAAUAAGCUCCCUUGGUGAUAGGAUUUGAUUAUUUUUGCCUUUACACUUUUCAUCUGUAUGUUCUACUUUUAUGACCAGAAAAAUACAUUUAAAAAAAGACAUUAAUAUGUUCACUAGUUCCAUUUUACCCUGGUAUCUAAUUAUCAGAUAUCUUCUAGAAGAUCCAGGAUAUACCUCAUAGGAAAUCUAUAGGAGGCCAACUGCUUAGAAAUGUCUCCAGCUCCAGGAAGUCAUGCUCUCCUGUCAUCAUUCAAUGCCCUGAUUUCUUGAUUUCCAAUAUCUAUCAUUUUCCUGACUCUGCUUUCAAAUCUAGCCUAGCUCGGCGCCAUCUCACCUUUGUCCAGCCUUUAUUCCAUUGAUAUUCCCCUCGGGUGGGCCAUCUGUGGUAGACGUGAGCCUCUGGUGCUCAAAGCC